AGGUAAGCUACUAAGAGCGAAUGGUGGAUGCCUUGACUGGUAAAGGCGAUGAAGGACGUACUAGACUGCGAUAAGCUACGGGGAGCUGUCAAGAAGCUUUGAUCCGUAGAUUUCCGAAUGGGGCAACCCAAUGUAUAGAGAUAUACAUUACCUAUAUAGGAGCGAACGAGGGGAAUUGAAACAUCUUAGUACCCUCAGGAAAAGAAAUCAAUAGAGAUUGCGUCAGUAGCGGCGAGCGAAAGCGCAAGAGGGCAAACCCAGUGCUUGCACUGGGGGUUGUAGGACUGCAAUGUGCAAGAGGUGAGUUUAGCAGAACAUUCUGGAAAGUAUAGCCAUAGAGGGUGAUAGUCCCGUAUGCGAAAAACAAACCUUAGCUAGCAGUAUCCUGAGUAGGGCGGGACACGAGAAAUCCUGUCUGAAGCUGGGUCGACCACGAUCCAACCCUAAAUACUAAUACCAGAUCGAUAGUGCACAAGUACCGUGAGGGAAAGGUGAAAAGAACUGAGGUGAUCAGAGUGAAAUAGAACCUGAAACCAUUUGCUUACAAUCAUUCAGAGCCCUAUGUAGCAAUACAGGGUGAUGGACUGCCUUUUGCAUAAUGAGCCUGCGAGUUGUGGUGUCUGGCAAGGUUAAGCAAACGCGAAGCCGUAGCGAAAGCGAGUCUGAAUAGGGCGCUUAGUCAGAUGCUGCAGACCCGAAACGAAGUGAUCUAUCCAUGAGCAAGUUGAAGCUAGUGUAAGAACUAGUGGAGGACUGAACCCAUAGGCGUUGAAAAGCCCCGGGAUGACUUGUGGAUAGGGGUGAAAGGCCAAUCAAACUUCGUGAUAGCUGGUUCUCUCCGAAAUAUAUUUAGGUAUAGCGUUGUGUCGUAAUAUAAGGGGGUAGAGCACUGAAUGGGCUAGGGCAUACACCAAUGUACCAAACCCUAUCAAACUCCGAAUACCUUAUAUGUAAUCACAGCAGUCAGGCGGCGAGUGAUAAAAUCCGUCGUCAAGAGGGAAACAACCCAGACUACCAGCUAAGGUCCCUAAAUCUUACUUAAGUGGAAAACGAUGUGAAGUUACUUAAACAACCAGGAGGUUGGCUUAGAAGCAGCCAUCCUUUAAAGAAAGCGUAAUAGCUCACUGGUCUAGUGAUUUUGCGCGGAAAAUAUAACGGGGCUAAAGUAAGUACCGAAGCUGUAGACUUGCGCACAACUUAGAUUAUUUAAGUUUAGAAUAUGAGAAACUAAGUUAUAUGUUUAGUUAUAUUUUUACUGAUUUUUAUAGAG
Molecule: ribosomal RNA, 1270 nt
Filed under: Campylobacter coli
Lineage: Bacteria; Pseudomonadati; Campylobacterota; Epsilonproteobacteria; Campylobacterales; Campylobacteraceae
Description: partial 23S ribosomal RNA
Rfam family: Bacterial large subunit ribosomal RNA
Source: RNAcentral